GACGAACGCUGGCGGCGUGCUUAACACAUGCAAGUCGAACGGAAAGGCCCUGCUUUUGUGGGGUGCUCGAGUGGCGAACGGGUGAGUAACACGUGAGUAACCUGCCCUUGACUUUGGGAUAACUUCAGGAAACUGGGGCUAAUACCGGAUAGGAGCUCCUGCUGCAUGGUGGGGGUUGGAAAGUUUCGGCGGUUGGGGAUGGACUCGCGGCUUAUCAGCUUGUUGGUGGGGUAGUGGUUGACCAAGGCUUUGAAGGGUAGCCGGCCCGAGAGGUUGACCGGCCACAAUGGGACUGAGAGACGGACCAGACUCCUACGGGAGGCAGCAGUGGGGAAUAUUGCACAAUGGGCGGAAGCCUGAUGCAGCAACGCCGCGUGCGGGAUGACGGCCUUCGGGUUGUAAACCGCUUUCGCCUGUGACGAAGCGUGAGUGACGGUAAUGGGUAAAGAAGCACCGGCUAACUACGUG
RNAcentral lists this ribosomal RNA (468 nucleotides) under uncultured bacterium. Its description in RNAcentral is "partial 16S ribosomal RNA". It matches the Rfam family "Bacterial small subunit ribosomal RNA", at positions 28 to 507 of the family's 1533-position model. The record is from RNAcentral.